Molecule: ribosomal RNA, 774 nt
Filed under: uncultured bacterium
Lineage: Bacteria
Description: bacterial SSU rRNA
Rfam family: Bacterial small subunit ribosomal RNA
Source: RNAcentral
AGAGUUUGAUCCUGGCUCAGGACGAACGCUGGCGGCGUGCUUAACACAUGCAAGUCGAGCGAGGCCCUCCUUCGGGGGGUGCCCUAGCGGCGAACGGGUGAGUAACACGUGGGCAACCUGCCCUCAGCUCUGGGAUAACUCCAAGAAAUUGGUGCUAAUACCGGAUGUGACCGCUGACCGCAUGGUCUGGUGGUGGAAAGAUUCAUCGGCUGAGGAUGGGCCCGCGGCCUAUCAGCUUGUUGGUGGGGUAAUGGCCCACCAAGGCGACGACGGGUAGCCGGCCUGAGAGGGUGACCGGCCACACUGGGACUGAGACACGGCCCAGACUCCUGCGGGAGGCAGCAGUGGGGAAUAUUGCGCAAUGGGCGAAAGCCUGACGCAGCGACGCCGCGUGAGGGAUGACGGCCUUCGGGUUGUAAACCUCUUUCAGUAGGGACGAAGCGCAAGUGACGGUACCUACAGAAGAAGCACCGGCCAACUACGUGCCAGCAGCCGCGGUAAUACGUAGGGUGCAAGCGUUGUCCGGAAUUAUUGGGCGUAAAGAGCUCGUAGGCGGUCUGUCACGUCGGCUGUGAAAACCCGAGGCUCAACCUCGGGCCUGCAGUCGAUACGGGCAAACUAGAGUACUGCAGGGGAGACUGGAAUUCCUGGUGUAGCGGUGAAAUGCGCAGAUAUCAGGAGGAACACCGGUGGCGAAGGCGGGUCUCUGGGCAGUAACUGACGCUGAGGAGCGAAAGCGUGGGGAGCGAACAGGAUUAGAUACCCUAGUAGUCC